GAUGAACGCUGGCGGCGUGCCUAAUACAUGCAAGUCGAGCGAACAGACGAGGAGCUUGCUCCUCUGACGUUAGCGGCGGACGGGUGAGUAACACGUGGAUAACAUACCUAUAAGACUGGGAUAACUUCGGGAAACCGGAGCUAAUACCGGAUAAUAUAUUGAACCGCAUGGUUCAAUAGUGAAAGACGGUUUUGCUGUCACUUAUAGAUGGAUCCGCGCCGCAUUAGCUUGUUGGUAAGGUAACGGCUUACCAAGGCAGCGAUGCGUAGCCGACCUGAGAGGGUGAUCGGCCGCACUGGAACUAAGACACGGUCCAGACUCCUACGGGAGGCAGCAGUAGGGAAUCUUCCGCAAUGGGCGAAAGCCUGACGGAGCAACGCCGCGUGAGUGAUGAAGGUCUUCUGAUCGUAAAACUCUGUUAUUAGGGAAGAACAAAUGUGUAAGUAACUAUGCACGUCUUGACGGUACCUAAUCAGAAAGCCACGGCUAACUACGUG
RNAcentral lists this ribosomal RNA (497 nucleotides) under uncultured bacterium. RNAcentral describes it as "partial 16S ribosomal RNA". It matches the Rfam family "Bacterial small subunit ribosomal RNA", at positions 28 to 507 of the family's 1533-position model. The record is from RNAcentral.